AAAAAGAUAAGCUAAAUAAGCUAUUAGGCUCAUAACCUAAACAUAGAAUUUAAUAUUCUUCUUUUUA
Molecule: transfer RNA, 67 nt
Filed under: Chudania hellerina
Lineage: Eukaryota; Metazoa; Arthropoda; Insecta; Hemiptera; Cicadellidae
Description: tRNA-Met
Source: RNAcentral